This 832-nucleotide ribosomal RNA is filed under the name Otidea bufonia. RNAcentral describes it as "LSU rRNA". It matches the Rfam family "Eukaryotic large subunit ribosomal RNA", at positions 79 to 923 of the family's 3401-position model. Lineage: Eukaryota; Fungi; Ascomycota; Pezizomycetes; Pezizales; Pyronemataceae. The record is from RNAcentral.
CUUAGUAACUGCGAGUGAAGCGGCAAAAGCUCAAAUUUGAAAUCGGAUGUUUUUGACAUUUGAAUUGUAAUUUGGAGGGAUAUCUUCGGAGCUGGCGCUGUCCUAAGUUCUUUGGAACCAGACAUCAUAGAGGGUGAGAAUCCCGUGCCUGGGUGGCUGUCCAGUUCCAUGUGAAGUGUCUCCGACGAGUCGAGUUGUUUGGGAAUGCAGCUCAAAAUGGGUGGUAAAUUUCAUCUAAAGCUAAAUAUUGGCGAGAGACCGAUAGCGCACAAGUAGAGUGAUCGAAAGAUGAAAAGCACUUUGAAAAGAGAGUUAAACAGUACGUGAAAUUGUUGAAAGGGAAGCGCUUGAGACUAGAUUCGGCCGGCGGUCAUCAGCUACGUUUCUACGUGGUGCACUUGCCGUCGGUUGAGCCAGCAUCGGUUUUGAUGGCGGGAUAAAGGUUUCAGGAAUGUGGCUCCUCAAUUUUGAGGAGUGUUAUAGCCUGGAGCGCAAUGCCGCCUGUCGGGACCGAGGACCGCGCUUUUGCUAGGAUGCUGGCUAAAAGGUCUUAAGCGGCCCGUCUUGAAACACGGACCAAGGAGUCUAACAUCUAUGCGAGUGUUCGGGUGGAAAACCCUUGCGCGUAAUGAAAGUGAACGGAGGUGGGAACCCCUUUGGGGUGCACCAUCGACCGAUCCUGAUGUUUACGGAAGGAUUUGAGUAGGAGCAUAGCUGUUGGGACCCGAAAGAUGGUGAACUAUGCCUGAAUAGGGUGAAGCCAGAGGAAACCUUGGUGGAAGCUCGCAGCGGUUCUGACGUGCAAAUCGAUCGUCAAAUUUGGGUAUAGGGG